This is a long non-coding RNA of Anopheles stephensi (Asian malaria mosquito), 592 nucleotides long. RefSeq lists it as uncharacterized. The transcript is spliced from 2 exons. The record is from RefSeq and is a predicted model, not a curated record. Lineage: Eukaryota; Metazoa; Arthropoda; Insecta; Diptera; Culicidae.
GUGAACGUUGGGAGGUGUUGGCACGGAAGACGGAGCGGGAAAAGGUUCACAACAACUAUGCGGUGAGGAGGAUAUCAACGGAUUGUGCAUUUACAGUUAGCGGGUGAGCCCACGCUGUACCUCGUAGGAGAACCUGGCCAUGGGUAUCGGAGAAUGCAUAUCAUAUGCCGGAGACGUGCUUGGCCUUGAACACUGACUCUGCUCGAUCACGGAUUCCAAAUUGGUCAUUACGUUACCGGCGGCUUGUCAGCAACCAGCAUUGGGUGUUCUUUUUCCGUUCAGUUCUUCCUGCCGUCCUUCUGUGUAUAAAGUGCCUUCCAUUAACAUCUCCCGACAACAAGUUGGAGUUGCUUCUAGCACGGUUUAUGAUGGUGCUGUUGCUGAAGAGGAAUGUUGUGUUGCCUGGUUGCACUGGACAGGAUGGUUCACACAGUGUAGUCGAUCUCCUGUUGGUGUCGAUUGUUCCCUUCGAGCCGGAGGCCCAUCCCGGCCGCUCAGUGCGAUAGUGUUAGGUGCUAGAAAUACAAGAUGUAAAUAUAAAAUGGUUACUUUACAUGUUAAUACAGAAGAGGCGAUUAUAUAGGUUAUAGAA